UAGGGUUAGAGGUAGGGUUAAGAGUAGGGGUAGGGUAGAGGUAGGGAUAGGGUUAGAGGUAGGGUAGGGUUAGGAGUACAGUUAGGAUUAUGGUAGGGUUAGGAAUAGGGUUACCCUACCCCUAACCCUACUCCAACCACUAACCCUACCCCUUCCCCAACCACUAACCCUACCCCAACUCUUAACCCUACCUUUAACCCUACCUCUACCCCAGCCACUAACCCUACCCUAACCCUACCCAACCCCUAAUCCUACCUCAACCC
Molecule: small RNA, 263 nt
Filed under: Pelobates cultripes (western spadefoot toad)
Lineage: Eukaryota; Metazoa; Chordata; Amphibia; Anura; Pelobatidae
Source: RNAcentral